This is a long non-coding RNA of Prosopis cineraria, 6289 nucleotides long. RefSeq lists it as uncharacterized. The record is from RefSeq and is a predicted model, not a curated record. The transcript is spliced from 4 exons. Lineage: Eukaryota; Viridiplantae; Streptophyta; Magnoliopsida; Fabales; Fabaceae.
GGCUCGAUCAAAACGCUAUAUAAACAGUUGGUUGGUUCACUGAGUUUCAGAUUUUAAACGAAUAAUUGCAUUCAAAUCAAGGGAGGCUCCGGGUGGAGGAGUUCUUCUUCCAAAGGUAGAAUUGUUCUUCUUCUUGGGAACAAACCCUAACCACAUAACCCCAUCAAAGUAUUGUGAUCGUAUCUCAUUCACCCAGAGAAAGUCGUAUUUUCCAAACGCAAGUCUCGCAAUUAGGUGUUGAAGCCAGCUGGAAUUAGCCCAUUGAAUUCUCUCUUUACGAUACAAUAGGAACGUUAUGCAGUUGGGUUGCUUGGCAGAGUUUCAAAUUUAAAUUAGGCGCAAAUUUCUUCAAUAGAUGGCUCAAUAAGGUGCUAUAGAUAGAGAAGUUUUUCUUCUAGAUGUGGGUGAGAUUUGGUAAUUCAUGAACCAUGAUCGUUUCUUUUUCUUUCAAAAAGUCAAUCAACUUUGUAAUAUCAUGAUGAUUUCUUUCCCUUCCCUUUUCGUUCUUUGAUUUCCGCAAUGGUUUCAAAGACUAUGAAAUCUACUCACCUUUCUAUUCAUCUUAGCUUAUAAAUUUAUAAAAUAAAACUGCAUUUCAUCCUUGCAUUGAAGUUUGAUUAUAAAAUUUGUACAUGAAGUAAAGCACAAACGUCAAAAUUAAUUGCAAGAGAUCAAAUGGCCUCUUAUAUUUACAUUUUGUUUCUCAACUAAUUGGAAUUUAAUGUUUUUAUCUAUAAAGUUAGUAUGUCGAUUUUUUAUUGGCACCUUAAUUCAUGGCAGUAAACUGUAACUGGAAUUUAAUUCUUGCUGUUUGAUUUUCAUUUUAAAAGAUCAACAAGAGUAUGACUUGCCAAGUGUCAACUAUCGUGCUUUGUUAUUCACAUUUCUGAGAUUAGAUUUUCUGCUUUCAAGUGGAGAUUGAUUCUCAAAUAUAUUCUCCAAUAGUUCCCUUAUUUUGAAUGAAUUACCAAUUCGAUCUUUCAGUUGGAGAUAUAAGUACUUAUAGACGGUUGCCUGCAUUUGUUGGUCGAUUUAUUUUUCUGUUUAAACUUAGCCAAAAAAAUAAAGGAAAAGCACGAUCAAUAACACUAGGUAUUAGGAUCCAUUUGAGACCUUUGGAUAUUAGGUACUAAUUUUUUUGUUUUAACAAAUACCACAAGAUACGCAAAAUACCUAAACCAUUACUGAUAUGAAACGUAGAAUAAUUAAAGUGGUCUCUCUCUACACGGCGUCUAUGCGUGCUGUAGACCUCAAAAAGGAAACGUUUGGGUCAAUCUUGGCAAAAGGGUGUUGAAUCAAUUACUGACCACGUGUUGCAUGGCAUGGCUUUGAUUACUUCUGACAGGCCUCGAUGGAAUAAGAAAGGUUUAACUUUUCCUUAUUAUUUGAACUUAUUUGUUCCUUAUUUGAACUUAUUCUAUAAUAUGAUUUACUUGUGAUAAAUUAAAGGGAAAGAAAAGAAGGAACAAAGUUUUUUCUAUGAAAUAUGGCAGCUUUCUUCUGCUGUUUUUUUUUUUUUUACUGUGUAUUGGAAAUCAUACCAUGUCUUUGCCAUGUGUUAAAAUACUUUAUUUGGGCAUAUUUCGUUUCAUAGUUAUCUUAUAAAGUUGUAGCCAUCCGUUCCUCACAUCAUUGACGUUGUUAAGUAGUUUUCUGUGAUAGGCCUUUCACUUAAGCAUGAGCAAUUUUAACCAAUAGUUAUCUUGUUAGGUUUUGAAAUACUUAACCUAGGCCUUCCCACCUGCUUUUUUUUUGCUUUUUUUUAUUGAGGUAAUUGUGGAUAUCAUUAGGGAGUGAAAUACUUAUUUUUUGUCCUGUAGUUCCCUUAUCUGUAACCAAUAUAUAUGGUAUAAGUAAUGUACCCUAAUUAAUAGUGUAGCCUCCGGUAGAAUAGUUAUCAGAUCCAGAUCAGAAUCAACCAUGCUCAGUGUUUCUUUACUAUAAUGCCUUCUUGCUCCUCUUUUGCUUGUAAUGAAUAUGAUCUGAAUCAAAAUUAUAAGUUUGAAGCCCUGGGUUGAGAGAAAUUUUGAUCAUUUAGAAAAGAAAACCUUAUGCAACUUACCCAUUACAUAUGCAUUCAUAGUUGUGUCUUAAUACAUUUUGUUGUAAUAUCAGUGUGAAUAAAAAAGGCUUAGAACUCUCAAUGGAAUGCUUUGUUUUGAUCUCAAUUGGUCAUUUACCUAGUUAUAUAAUGCUCAAAACCUAAUAAUUUGUUGCCAGAUUCAUAUUGGUGCGUAGAUAACAUGAACAAUCUACACUUCCCAAAUAGGGAUUGGAACUGAUUUUAUGGAAAGCCACUUUGGGAUUUAUGGAGGAAGUUGUUUGUGAAGUUUGAUGGAACUAUGCCCAUCAGCAACCCAAACAGGGUUUUGGAAAAUGUUUGAUGUACAGAUUUAAUCAAAAAGUAUAGAAAUUGUAUCAGUUAGCAGUCCACAGAGCAGUAAGGCAUAGCUAAAACCUAAAGCUGGAUUGAAUAAAUAAGCAAAAGAAAUUAUUACUUCUUGAUAUCUAGAAACAUUACAAUAGCAGUUGCCAAUUCUCAUAAUUAGCACAUCCGGAAUUUUGUUUUUUCCAUUUAUCUCUUGCUUCUGAUUUCUGAUAUCCUAGGAUGGCUUGGUUUCUAAUUGAACUUCAUUUUCCUCUAAAUUUUGACCAAGUUGAAGUUAUUCCACAAGUGCUGGAAUAUGAUGAGUUGUUGGAAAGUUAUCGUAAAAUUGCUUUUAGUAAAAUUUCUACUUCUUGCUUUCCCCCUUUGUCUUACAUGUGACAGAACAUGGGGAAGGGUUUUUGCGGUUUUUAGUCUUUCUAUUUUAAAACAAUGGUGUCAGUUUUAGUUUUUAACUUGGGAAAUUUAGUCUUUUAUUGAUUGAAAUUAUUAGCUUGUAAAGGGUGCAACUAAACCUUGUUUUAUAUUGAGUCUUUUUCCCCCAAGCAAUGUUAUUGUUUGGUAAACAUAAAAUAUAAUAAAAUCGAUGAAAAAAAUUGAAUGAUAAAGUAGGUUUUUGAAACAAAAAUGAUAUUUGUAAAUUAUGAAUAAUGAUAACAGUGUGAAACAAAAACAAUAAAAUAAAUAUUACUUGAUUUGUAAUGGAAAGAAAGUUCCAUUCUUGGAUUGAUGCUAAGUAAACUUAAAUGAUGUUAAAGUGGCUUUCAAGUAACUUUCAGACUCAAAUAGGAAAAAAGUUGGGUAGCUGUGAUCCUUUUGAGAAGAAAAUCUUUUCCUUUAGUUUCACCCAACUUCCAAUAAAAUUAAAUUAAAUUUACCUUUUUUUAAUUUUUUUUGCCUUGCCUUCAAUACAUACGGUCUUUUAAGGAAGAAACGAUGUAUAUUGAAGUAAUGUGCUUAUUAAAGAGAGACAAUAUUAAAUAAACAUACAUGUUGGCAUUUUGGUAUUGAGUUUGACUACUGAUUAUUAUCAUCAUUAUUAUCAUUAUUAUCAUUAUUAUUAUUAUUAUUAUGUAACUUGCUAGCUAAUUGACUACAACAUGGAACAUGCAUGUAACUGGAAUAUAAAGAGAAACACAACAAAAAAGUAAUCACUCUCUUGAUAAAAUACCACAAAUAGACGUUGGAUCCUUCCUUUUUGUAUACAUUGAGUAGAAAUAGACUUGUGCAUCUUUACUUCUGCAUCUUUUUUAAUUAUUACAUGGGGAUAAAAGCUUGAGUGUUAUUAUGUGUUUAGUAGUUACUGUUGGACAUAUGAUGGUGUGCCUAACGAAGGACGGACAAAAAAAAAAAAAAGUAGAAUGAAGAGGUGUCAUUAAAGGACGUCUGCAAUUAUUGGUAUUGGUAUGAGGAGAAGAGGUAUUUUUAUUUUCAUGUGAUUUAAUGUUAUUAUAUUUUUUGUAAAAUUUUUAUUUUGGGUGCUGGUUGGAGGUAUGUGUUAUUAGAAGAGAUCAUGUGAUCUUAAAUACAUGAACCCCACAUCCCUCCCCAAACUCCUUUAUAGGAAGAUACAUAUGCCCCCUCUUAUGCCAACCUAUAAGGGGAGAUGAACGGAGAGUAGGUGCAUUUCCCCUGUCGUCCCUUGUACCACUAUAGGUGAAGUACACUGACUCGGUGCCCACUCCUUUUUCCUUACCUACAUGAUUGUUGAUGUGUGCUUUAGGCUGCAUACCUUCCUCGGCUUGAUCCCUUAAAGGACGAUGACGAGUGUCAAUCAAGAGCACACUUUUAACCAUCCCCCAAAGGGCAAUGUAUUAUCAUUUGCCAUUAUCAUCUUCCUAAAAAAUUAACUCAAUGACAUAUGCAACACACCUAUUUAUAUGCAUAGAAUCCUCUCCAAAUUCUUUCGAUGUGGGACGUAACAGCUCCCACAACCAAUUCAUGACGUUCCCAUCAUGAGUGGCCCACUGGAAAGGUCUACCAAUUGGAUAAACUUAGGUCCGUCUCUGAUAUUACUUUGUUAUUAGGUAUUACUCUCUCUAUAAAAAGCUAGCUCAAUAGGGUAUGUAGUGCACGUACUUAUAUGCCCAACCCUCCCUAAGUCCCCCCCAAUGUGGGAUGUAAUAGCAUGCUGAACAAGUGCAUAGUGUAACAUCUUAGAAAAUUAACCCCGAUUAAAUUAAAUGAGGUUAAUUAAUUAAAUAAAUCAAUAUGGUGUGUGGUUAGAGGGUAGUGGGUUCAGACCUAGGAUUGGGACAGUAGAAAAAGUAUUUUUGUGCUACAUGUCAUAACGCAAGAGCCACCAAAACAUGAAGCAAUCCACACACAAACCUAUUGCAAAUUUGAGAUGAGAAGAGGGAGGAGGGUUAGGAAGCUUACUCAAGUAUUUCUUUAGCUUAGAAUGCCUCUAACUAGGUCAAAUGAUGAAGCCCUAGUAGUUAAAUAUCUCCUCUCCUUCGCCUCUCCUGUUUCUCUUCUUUUUCCUCACUAUUUUAAGUGAAAGAAUAUGGGUCCCGCAUGUCCAACAAGCUUAACAAUGCCAAGAGGCCUACAAUGCAAAAGUGGUGAAACAAGGCAAGAGGCCAACAAUCAACCAGUGGCCUAUAAAAAUAAAAGGAUCACAUGGAUAAUUGUACAAAUGAUGACAUAUCCCUUGAUUGCUUCAAAUUGAUUAGCUUAAUAAUUUAGAUAUUGGUUUAAUAUUUAUAUAUUAUUUUAAUAUUUUAUUUAAGUUUUGUUUCCUAUUUUUAGAUUAGAAUUUUAUCUAAUAAUAUAAUCAGAUGAUUUUAGGAUAUAUAAUCCUUAGAUUAUUUGGUUGAUUUUCAUUAUUUUAUUAGUAUUGUCAUCAAACUAGGAUUUCUAAAUUAAGGCUUUUGAGUCUUGAGUAAUAUAUAGGCGUGCACAAGAAAUUCCUAAAUGGACUGAGUGCAAAAAAUUAACUAUGCAUAUAAGAAUAAAAUCAAUUAAAAUAAUGUCAUGUAAGAUUUUAUGUAUAUAAUUUGGAACAUUUAAUUGGACAAAUUACAAAUGACACGAUGCACCUAAUUUAUCUAAAAAUUUCUCAACAUGCACUUCUUUAUUGUAUUGUAAGUUGAAUUUGAAUAAUAAGUGUAUUUCUUAUUUUUUUUUAAGUUUAGUGAUUCAUAGUGCUUAUGGUAGCAUCUUGUGGUGAAUACAGACGUAAUCAAGAGCUUUAUCAACUCUUGCUACUUCAUUUCCUUCCGUUAUUAGCAUGAUGUUGCUUCCAUCAUUAGUUCAUGAAUGCAUAUAAUUUAACCAAAAUUUUGCAAAUCUGCUAUGCGCAAAGUGCAUCCGUUGUGGUGGAGACAUGGUGGGUCCAAAUGCGAAUUAGUGAGGCCUAAUUGGAAAUUUUAAAUCCUAGAAUUUAAAUCUGAAAAUUUUAAGUGUUUAGAGGGUAGAUUGGUAAAUUUGAGUGAAUUUUUUAUUGAUAUUAUUUUUAGAACACUAUGUGGUUAUUGGAUCAUUGGUCAGUCUUAAAAGUAGGCUAUGUUCAAGUUUGAAUAGGCUGUGAUAUGGAGAGAGGCCCAAAUCGUGAUUGAGCAUCUUUGGCCCAUAUACCAUAACGAAUGGACAUAAAUCUGGUUUUGUCAAACGCAAGCUCGAGUUUGAUUUCAAAAGAAAGAAAGAAAACGAGAGGAUUUGGGAGCAAAUUGGAAGCAUUUGGGAGGUUGAUUAUUGUUGGGUGUCACACACCAAAAAUAAAAUUCUAACAAAAUUUCAUCUGUAUGUAGGACCUUCCAAAAUUUUACAACACAAAUAUCAUAACAACCAAGAAUUCAAUUCCUUCCAACUAGCAUAUGGAGUAUUUAACAAAAUAAGAACCCUAUCCAUAGCCUAUGCGGAGAACCUAUCGUAACGUUUACAAAACAUAAUACAUGAAUU